UCCGUAGGGGGCAAGCGUUGUCCGGAUUUAUUGGGCGUAAAGCGCUCGCAGGUGGUUUGUCGCGUCGUGCGUGAAAGACCCCGGCUCAACUGGGGAGGGUCGUGCGAUACGGGCGAACUGGAGGCCAGUAGGGGGAUGCGGAAUUCCGGGUGUAGUGGUGGAAUGCGUAGAGAUCCGGAGGAACACCAGCGGCGAAGGCGGCAUCCUGGACUGGUCCUGACACUCAGGAGCGAAAGCGUGGGUAGCAAACAGG
This 253-nucleotide ribosomal RNA is filed under the name uncultured bacterium. RNAcentral's name for it is "partial 16S ribosomal RNA". It matches the Rfam family "Bacterial small subunit ribosomal RNA", at positions 524 to 776 of the family's 1533-position model. The record is from RNAcentral.